RNAcentral lists this ribosomal RNA (104 nucleotides) under Paramormyrops kingsleyae. Lineage: Eukaryota; Metazoa; Chordata; Actinopteri; Osteoglossiformes; Mormyridae. The record is from RNAcentral.
ACCACCUGCGGUUCAGACCUGGUUAUCCACCUGAAGCUAAGCAGGUUUGGGUCUGGCUGGUCUUUGGAUGGGAAAUCAACUAGGAAAGUGUGUUGCUGCUGGAG